CAGAGACACACAGAGAGAAGACUGAGUGACAAACAAAACAGAGAUCGGGUCAUGUGUCUCCAAGCCAAGAAAUGCCAAUGAUUGCUGGCAGCCACCAGAAUUUAGGAGAGAGACGUGGAGCGGAUAUCUCUCAGAGCCUCCAGAGCAAUAACUCUCAGGUAGUUCUCCUUGCCUUCUGAUGACCUCUCCUCCCAUCCCUGGCCACUGUCGCAUGCUUUCAGGGAUGGGUCAGUGCUGAGCAGAGAGCUCGGUCAUAGAAGAGGCACAAACAUCUGGAGAGGGAUUCUGAGACAGGAAAUUGAUGAUGGUCAUUUAAACCACUGGAUGCUUGCAGAAAUCUCAGGGAGGUCACAGACCCUCCCCCAGACAUGGAGUCAUGGACUCAAAGCACAGAGAGGUUCCUGUUGCCACCUGGGUGACAUUCACACAGUCUCACUGCGUCCCCUCUGCUGGGGUCAGAGAGGCCUGCACUCAGAGGGAGGAAGCUGAGAUUCUGUAGGGGGACCAGUCCAGCCAUGGGAUCAAUCUGCACCCAAGACUCCUGCGCCGUAGCAAGGACUCUGCCUCCACAUCAGCACGCUGGCUUAUUUAUAUUUUUCCCAGCCUUAUCUUGCUGUUUGCUUGUCUGGAUUUCUGCAUUUUUCCCUCUGCACCUGCUCAUCCGGCUCUACACUGAUCACUCCACGCUAGUCAAGAAAAUGGAACUUGGAGAGGUUGCGCAGCUCGACUACAGAUGUGCUGGAACCAAAGAGCACCCGAGAAGGACACAAAGUGUGAUACCUCCACGACGUUAG
RNAcentral lists this long non-coding RNA (794 nucleotides) under Mustela putorius furo (domestic ferret). RNAcentral describes it as "lncRNA (ENSMPUG00000025653.1)". Lineage: Eukaryota; Metazoa; Chordata; Mammalia; Carnivora; Mustelidae. The record is from RNAcentral.